AUACGGGGGGGGCAAGCGUUGUUCGGAAUUACUGGGCGUAAAGGGCGCGCAGGCGGGCGGGAAAGUCUCUCGUGAAAGCCCACGGCUCAACCGUGGAAUUGCGGGAGAUACUACUCGUCUUGAGUCCGGGAGAGGAGUGUGGAAUUCCCAGUGUAGCGGUGAAAUGCGUAGAUAUUGGGAGGAACACCGGUGGCGAAGGCGGCACUCUGGACCGGUACUGACGCUGAGGCGCGAAAGCUAGGGGAGCAAACGGGAUUAGAUACCCCAGUAGUCC
This 274-nucleotide ribosomal RNA is filed under the name uncultured bacterium. Its description in RNAcentral is "partial 16S ribosomal RNA". It matches the Rfam family "Bacterial small subunit ribosomal RNA", at positions 523 to 796 of the family's 1533-position model. The record is from RNAcentral.